This 233-nucleotide long non-coding RNA is filed under the name Brassica napus (rape). RNAcentral's name for it is "long non-coding RNA (BNAP_LNC011329)". Lineage: Eukaryota; Viridiplantae; Streptophyta; Magnoliopsida; Brassicales; Brassicaceae. The record is from RNAcentral.
UUUUCGAGCUCUUGUCCGAUGACUCACGUUUCCUCCGCAAAGUUUUUCGUAAGGAAAAGCUCGUUGGGAGCGUGGAUUUCUAGUGAGAUCCCAAUGCGCGGUAUGGCGAGUUUGGACGAUAUUGGUGUAUUUGGGCGAAGUUCGUGUUCAAAAAUCCGCAAGUAAAUAGUAAUUUCUCAUGCCUAUAAGAUGGGAGGUAAUUUCUUCACAAUCUUUACACUUACUCAUUCUCA